AUGGAUAAUCUCCAAAGACGAGGAUGGUCAUCAAACAACUCUUUUUCGUUGUGCCUGGUCCAUCAUGAGGAUUACACCCACUUUUUUGUGCACUGCAGGUUCAUGCAACAACUUUGGAGGGCGUUCCAACAGUGGAAAGGGGAUAAUUUCGCCACUCCCAAUGAAAGUUUCAGUAGCACGAAGGACUGGUGGCUAAUGACCAGCAAGGCGAUCCUGAAGCCUGCUCGUCGUAAUUUCGACACCAUAGCCAUUCUGAUACACUAGAGGGUCUAGAAGGAGCGGGACGCUAGAACCUUUGAUCACAUUGCCUGCAGCAUUGAACGAGUCCUCGAACAAAUCAGAGAGGAUAUCAGCAUCUAGAGGGCCGCUGGUUGUGUGGCUGACCUAGGGAGCUGA
Molecule: ribosomal RNA, 396 nt
Filed under: Triticum aestivum (bread wheat)
Lineage: Eukaryota; Viridiplantae; Streptophyta; Magnoliopsida; Poales; Poaceae
Description: partial small subunit ribosomal RNA
Source: RNAcentral